RNAcentral lists this long non-coding RNA (1369 nucleotides) under Haliotis rubra (blacklip abalone). RNAcentral's name for it is "uncharacterized LOC124272860". Lineage: Eukaryota; Metazoa; Mollusca; Gastropoda; Lepetellida; Haliotidae. The record is from RNAcentral.
UUACAUUGUCACGACUUCCGGUGGUAUAUGACGAAUGUAUUUCCGUUUCCGGAGCCGGUGAAAUCCAUAGCUGCUGGAGAAAUACGUAACAUGGCGAAGCCUGUUUGCCUGGAUAGCAUGGGGAAGUCGAUGAAACCAGGGUGUGUUUGGUUGUCACGGCCAGGGUAUAAAUCAGUGGUGGCAACUGAGGGAAGACCGGACUCUGGGCAUGGCUAUGCAGGAUAAAAAGCCAUGAGAAGGGCACCCUUGUGUUGAAGAAAAGCUGCCCUGGACAACAGUCGUGGACCUACGACAAGGAGAAUCAAACCAUGCUUCACAGCCCUUCUAAAAUGUGUUUACAAGUGACUGUGUGCAACUUAAGCUGACACUCGCUACAUGCUCGGGAACGGCAUGGCAAAGUGGAUAGUGCCACUGAAGAGUAUGCAAUCUAAACAUUAGCGUGACAGUAUCGAGAUAAUUGUGUAUAUCAAACGAUCUCAAACUGAGGUUGGCUGACGAUGUGCUUCAUAUCAUCCAAGGAGAAUGUAUCGAAUGAAGUAAGAAAAGGACUGAAGGAACAUACGAAGACAAAGUUCUAAAUUCAUCUGGACAUCUGCAGCGCUGUAUAACGCCGUUUUCCAUAAAAUCUGUACAUGGAAAUAUAUCCAUUGAAUGUUGGACUUCAGGUGACCUUGAACUUCACACGACACGUGUACAUAUACGUUUGCUGGUUAAUGUAACCAGAUAUCUUUGAGUAACAUUUGACAUGCUACACAUUUGAUCCAUCAAUCCAUCACCUGUCACGAAAUGCAACUCUAUAUGGAAGAGUGUUAAAAGCUGUCAGUGUUCCGAUGAUAGCAACUGAGGGAAUACCAUAGCGGAAAGUAAGAAGUGCACAUGUUUUUGGCUAAUGUCACACAAAUCCAGUGCUACCGUGGAAUAAUACUCUCACUGAUGUGAACGACAUUAGAAACCUUAUAUAUAUUUUUUAAUAUGACUCAACUCGGAAAUUGACGAAAGGUUCUCUGUAAGGUAAAGGGAAUGGGCUUAUUCAUGUCGUUAACGUUAGACAGAGUUAUUGUUUAGGGGUUGGCGCAGUACUUAUCUGGUAUUGGAACACUAUGACUGGCAGACCCUUAUUUAAUUUUACAUACGAACUUAUGUGCUGCGAACUGUGUCCAGUAGACGCUGAACCAUAAUCACGACAACUAAAUACAGGGGUAGGGCGAUGACUUGUGAUUUACGCACUAAAGCAGUUAUCUGCGAAUGAAAAAAAUCUCCCCAGAACAACAAAUAAUGUAUAAAAACAAGCUACUAGGAAACACUACUGAACUCAGGUAGUAUUACGUAAGGUAUCUUAGGUGAUGAAUAAAACCGGAUUCAUGAUUUU